GUUCUCCAUUAAGUCAUCUUCCCAUAACUCCUUGUUUUUCUUGCUGGAAAAAAAAAACCUUAGCCCCACCAAAACAAACAAAUACUCAAUGCCAUUUUGUCCAGAUAAUUAGCCUGAAAUAAACAUAUUUAAUACAACGAAUGCCACUUGUAAAAUUCCCAUCCAAGGAAGGAGAACCUUUACCCUGCAACCUCAUCCUCAUGGGUCUGCCAGGGCUGUCCGGUACAGUCCACAUCAGUCGUUUAUGGUUCCAAUUUGGUCAGAAGUGACAACAUUUCGGCAUUCACAUUCUAUUUGCUGGACCGGUAUUGAAUGUUAAAAUAAAGAUUUGCAGGGCCAUGCUCCACAUUAACAGACUGCCAUUAUCUCAGGACACCUGAUUUAAUCGGACCAGUGGGUUGUGGUCAGCACUGUGAAGAAACGUGUGGCGGAACCAACCUCGCCACUGUCCACUGGAGAGGCCUGGUUGCUUGCCUGCUCCCUUUAGACUAUGGUCCUGCAUUUCAAACUUUUAUU
This is a non-coding RNA of Pelobates cultripes (western spadefoot toad), 516 nucleotides long. The record is from the annotation of a GenBank genome assembly. NCBI's taxonomy places the organism in Eukaryota, Metazoa, Chordata, Amphibia, Anura, Pelobatidae.